Molecule: ribosomal RNA, 2900 nt
Filed under: Klebsiella pneumoniae
Lineage: Bacteria; Pseudomonadati; Pseudomonadota; Gammaproteobacteria; Enterobacterales; Enterobacteriaceae
Description: bacterial LSU rRNA
Rfam family: Bacterial large subunit ribosomal RNA
Source: RNAcentral
UUAAGCGACUAAGCGUACACGGUGGAUGCCCUGGCAGUCAGAGGCGAUGAAGGACGUGCUAAUCUGCGAAAAGCGUCGGUAAGGUGAUAUGAACCGUUAUAACCGGCGAUGUCCGAAUGGGGAAACCCAGUGCAAUUCGUUGCACUAUCGUUAACUGAAUACAUAGGUUAACGAGGCGAACCGGGGGAACUGAAACAUCUAAGUACCCCGAGGAAAAGAAAUCAACCGAGAUUCCCCCAGUAGCGGCGAGCGAACGGGGAGCAGCCCAGAGUCUGAAUCAGCUUGUGUGUUAGUGGAACGGUCUGGAAAGUCCGACGGUACAGGGUGAUAGUCCCGUACACCAAAAUGCACAGGCUGUGAACUCGAAGAGUAGGGCGGGACACGUGGUAUCCUGUCUGAAUAUGGGGGGACCAUCCUCCAAGGCUAAAUACUCCUGACUGACCGAUAGUGAACCAGUACCGUGAGGGAAAGGCGAAAAGAACCCCGGCGAGGGGAGUGAAAAAGAACCUGAAACCGUGUACGUACAAGCAGUGGGAGCACCUUCGGGUGUGACUGCGUACCUUUUGUAUAAUGGGUCAGCGACUUAUAUUCUGUAGCAAGGUUAACCGUAUAGGGGAGCCGCAGGGAAACCGAGUCUUAACUGGGCGUUAAGUUGCAGGGUAUAGACCCGAAACCCGGUGAUCUAGCCAUGGGCAGGUUGAAGGUUGGGUAACACUAACUGGAGGACCGAACCGACUAAUGUUGAAAAAUUAGCGGAUGACUUGUGGCUGGGGGUGAAAGGCCAAUCAAACCGGGAGAUAGCUGGUUCUCCCCGAAAGCUAUUUAGGUAGCGCCUCGUGAAUUCAUCUUCGGGGGUAGAGCACUGUUUCGGCUAGGGGGUCAUCCCGACUUACCAACCCGAUGCAAACUACGAAUACCGAAGAAUGUUAUCACGGGAGACACACGGCGGGUGCUAACGUCCGUCGUGAAGAGGGAAACAACCCAGACCGCCAGCUAAGGUCCCAAAGUCAUGGUUAAGUGGGAAACGAUGUGGGAAGGCACAGACAGCCAGGAUGUUGGCUUAGAAGCAGCCAUCAUUUAAAGAAAGCGUAAUAGCUCACUGGUCGAGUCGGCCUGCGCGGAAGAUGUAACGGGGCUAAACCAUGCACCGAAGCUGCGGCAGCGACACUAUGUGUUGUUGGGUAGGGGAGCGUUCUGUAAGCCUGCGAAGGUGACCUGUGAGGGUUGCUGGAGGUAUCAGAAGUGCGAAUGCUGACAUAAGUAACGAUAAAGCGGGUGAAAAGCCCGCUCGCCGGAAGACCAAGGGUUCCUGUCCAACGUUAAUCGGGGCAGGGUGAGUCGACCCCUAAGGCGAGGCCGAAAGGCGUAGUCGAUGGGAAACAGGUUAAUAUUCCUGUACUUGGUGUUACUGCGAAGGGGGGACGGAGAAGGCUAUGUUAGCCGGGCGACGGUUGUCCCGGUUUAAGCAUGUAGGCUGGUUGUCCAGGCAAAUCCGGAUAAUCAAGGCUGAGGUGUGAUGACGAGGCACUACGGUGCUGAAGUAACAAAUGCCCUGCUUCCAGGAAAAGCCUCUAAGCAUCAGGUAACAUUAAAUCGUACCCCAAACCGACACAGGUGGUCAGGUAGAGAAUACCAAGGCGCUUGAGAGAACUCGGGUGAAGGAACUAGGCAAAAUGGUGCCGUAACUUCGGGAGAAGGCACGCUGGUGUGUAGGUGAAGUCCCUGCGGAUGGAGCUGAGACCAGUCGAAGAUACCAGCUGGCUGCAACUGUUUAUUAAAAACACAGCACUGUGCAAACACGAAAGUGGACGUAUACGGUGUGACGCCUGCCCGGUGCCGGAAGGUUAAUUGAUGGGGUUAUCCGUAAGGAGAAGCUCUUGAUCGAAGCCCCGGUAAACGGCGGCCGUAACUAUAACGGUCCUAAGGUAGCGAAAUUCCUUGUCGGGUAAGUUCCGACCUGCACGAAUGGCGUAAUGAUGGCCAGGCUGUCUCCACCCGAGACUCAGUGAAAUUGAACUCGCUGUGAAGAUGCAGUGUACCCGCGGCAAGACGGAAAGACCCCGUGAACCUUUACUAUAGCUUGACACUGAACAUUGAGCCUUGAUGUGUAGGAUAGGUGGGAGGCUUUGAAGCGUGGACGCCAGUCUGCGUGGAGCCAACCUUGAAAUACCACCCUUUAAUGUUUGAUGUUCUAACGUUGGCCCCUUAUCGGGGUUGCGGACAGUGUCUGGUGGGUAGUUUGACUGGGGCGGUCUCCUCCCAAAGCGUAACGGAGGAGCACGAAGGUUAGCUAAUCCUGGUCGGACAUCAGGAGGUUAGUGCAAUGGCAUAAGCUAGCUUGACUGCGAGCGUGACGGCGCGAGCAGGUGCGAAAGCAGGUCAUAGUGAUCCGGUGGUUCUGAAUGGAAGGGCCAUCGCUCAACGGAUAAAAGGUACUCCGGGGAUAACAGGCUGAUACCGCCCAAGAGUUCAUAUCGACGGCGGUGUUUGGCACCUCGAUGUCGGCUCAUCACAUCCUGGGGCUGAAGUAGGUCCCAAGGGUAUGGCUGUUCGCCAUUUAAAGUGGUACGCGAGCUGGGUUUAGAACGUCGUGAGACAGUUCGGUCCCUAUCUGCCGUGGGCGCUGGAGAAUUGAGGGGGGCUGCUCCUAGUACGAGAGGACCGGAGUGGACGCAUCACUGGUGUUCGGGUUGUCAUGCCAAUGGCACUGCCCGGUAGCUAAAUGCGGAAGAGAUAAGUGCUGAAAGCAUCUAAGCACGAAACUUGCCCCGAGAUGAGUUCUCCCUGAGACUUUAAGUCUCCUGAAGGAACGUUAAAGACGAUGACGUUGAUAGGCCGGGUGUGUAAGCGCAGCGAUGCGUUGAGCUAACCGGUACUAAUGAACCGUGAGGCUUAACCUU